AAUACCCGGAGGGUGAAACCUCCUCCCUUCGCUCUCCGGGGUGACCAGCCAGCUCCUCCUCCCGCUGGCUUGUAACAGGAAAAGGCCGGCUCCUCCUCCCGCCGGCCUUUUCU
This is a small RNA of 113 nucleotides. It matches the Rfam family "Alphaproteobacterial ar14". Rfam says of the family: Smr14C2 was renamed NfeR1 (Nodule Formation Efficiency RNA) highly expressed in salt stress and during the symbiotic interaction on legume roots.